Vespa mandarinia (Asian giant hornet) is the source of this 625-nucleotide long non-coding RNA. The record is from RefSeq and is a predicted model, not a curated record. NCBI's taxonomy places the organism in Eukaryota, Metazoa, Arthropoda, Insecta, Hymenoptera, Vespidae.
UAUAAACAAAAGGUGUAGUAUAUUACUAGUAUAAUAUAUACGAUAACUACAGGUCAACUUCGUUAAAUAAUAUAUAACGUCACGAGUUUAGUCGACGAAGAACAUUCAACAAGAUUAGAUCUACGAAAUAUAUUAGAACAAUGAUUCACGAUUUGAUCAAGCAAUGAUCAACCAACGUUCGUCUUAAUCUCGAAUAUCAUCUUCGUCACAUAUUUAUUGUUUAAUGCAUAUAUAUAUAUAUAUAUAUAUAUAUAUAAAUAUAUAUAUAUAUAUAUAUAUAUAUGUAUAUGGUCCCAACAACGUUGUUGCAUAAUUAAUAAAAUACUUGAUACGCCGACGUGUGGCUACAAAUAGGGAUAGCAUGCGGCUAAUUCAUCGUAGCGAGCGAUCGCACGAUUAUGAUUUUAUUGCACGACGUUGUGAGCACACUUUCGUCGCACCAUCAAAGGAUAAGGAUAAAGAUUUGCGAGCUUAAUUAAUGCUUACCUCGUAAAAGAGAUUUAUAAUUACGAUAAUGUACGUGGGAGAGUGGCUGUCCAUAAUGACCGAGUUAUUUCAAGAUUAUCGACAUAGAAAAAAGUCGAGCUUGUGAAAAUAAUAAUUUCUCUUUUCGUUUCUUCCUUUC